UACGUAGGUCCCGAGCGUUGUCCGGAUUCACUGGGUGUAAAGGGCGCGUAGGCGGUCAAGUGUGUCUCAUGUGAAAGCUCAGGGCUCAACUCUGAGAGUGCGUGGGAGACUACUUGGCUGGAGGACGGUAGAGGGAAGUGGAAUUCCCGGUGUAGCGAUAAAAUGCGUAGAUAUCGGGAGGAACACCAGUGGCGAAGGCGGCUUCCGGGGCCGAUCCUGACCUUGAGGCGCGAAAGCCAGGGGAGCGAACCGG
RNAcentral lists this ribosomal RNA (253 nucleotides) under uncultured bacterium. RNAcentral describes it as "partial 16S ribosomal RNA". It matches the Rfam family "Bacterial small subunit ribosomal RNA", at positions 524 to 776 of the family's 1533-position model. The record is from RNAcentral.